AACUUAGUGGCGGACGGGUGAGUAACGCGUGGGUAACCUGCCUCAUACAGGGGGAUAACACUUAGAAAUAGGUGCUAAUACCGCAUAAGCGCACAGUAUCGCAUGAUACAGUGUGAAAAACUCCGGUGGUAUGAGAUGGACCCGCGUCUGAUUAGCUAGUUGGUGAGGUAAGGGCCCACCAAGGCGACGAUCAGUAGCCGGCCUGANAGGGUGAACGGCCACAUUGGGACUGAGACACGGCCCAAACUCCUACGGGAGGCAGCAGUGGGGAAUAUUGCACAAUGGGGGAAACCCUGAUGCAGCGACGCCGCGUGAGUGAAGAAGUAUUUCGGUAUGUAAAGCUCUAUCAGCAGGGAAGAAAUGACGGUACCUGACUAAGAAGCCCCGGCUAACUACGUG
This 399-nucleotide ribosomal RNA is filed under the name uncultured bacterium. RNAcentral describes it as "bacterial SSU rRNA". It matches the Rfam family "Bacterial small subunit ribosomal RNA", at positions 89 to 507 of the family's 1533-position model. The record is from RNAcentral.